This 302-nucleotide ribosomal RNA is filed under the name uncultured bacterium. RNAcentral's name for it is "partial 16S ribosomal RNA". It matches the Rfam family "Bacterial small subunit ribosomal RNA", at positions 508 to 809 of the family's 1533-position model. The record is from RNAcentral.
GCAGUAGCCGCGGGAAUACGUAGGGUGCAAGCGUUAAUCGGAAUUACUGGGCGUAAAGCGUGCGCAGGCGGUUAUAUAAGACAGAUGUGAAAUCCCCGGGCUCAACCUGGGAACUGCAUUUGUGACUGUAUAGCUAGAGUACGGCAGAGGGGGAUGGAAUUCCGCGUGUAGCAGUGAAAUGCGUAGAUAUGCGGAGGAACACCGAUGGCGAAGGCAAUCCCCUGGGCCUGUACUGACGCUCAUGCACGAAAGCGUGGGGAGCAAACAGGAUUAGAUACCCCUGUAGUCCCUGUCUCUUAUAU